UGGUGCCCCAACGUGGGACUCGAGAACGGGAGACUUAGUGAGGGAUGCUGUUUGUCGGCCCAAAGUAGAAAAAGGAAAAGAAAAUAGAGGACCGAUGUGGAAGCCUGCCACACCGCUGAACCUCGGUAAGUGAACAGCGAUUAUGGGACAAGAAAUUAGCCAGCAUGAGAUUUUUGUUAAAAGUUUAAGAAAGGCUUUAAAGAUGCAAAGAGUAAAGGAAAACAUUAAGCAAUUGUCCAUUAGGGCUUAAUGAACUUUAACU
Cavia porcellus (domestic guinea pig) is the source of this 262-nucleotide regulatory RNA element. It matches the Rfam family "Mason-Pfizer monkey virus packaging signal". Rfam says of the family: The packaging signal is located in the 5' UTR and is required for specific RNA encapsidation. Lineage: Eukaryota; Metazoa; Chordata; Mammalia; Rodentia; Caviidae. The record is from Rfam.